Aureobasidium namibiae CBS 147.97 is the source of this 72-nucleotide transfer RNA. It matches the Rfam family "tRNA". Rfam says of the family: Transfer RNA (tRNA) molecules are approximately 80 nucleotides in length. Their secondary structure includes four short double-helical elements and three loops (D, anti-codon, and T loops). NCBI's taxonomy places the organism in Eukaryota, Fungi, Ascomycota, Dothideomycetes, Dothideales, Saccotheciaceae. The record is from Rfam.
GGGCGUCUGGCGCAGUGGUAGCGCGUCUGCUUUGCAUGCUGAAGGUCUAGGGUUCGAUCCCCUAGUCGUCCA